Fundulus heteroclitus (mummichog) is the source of this 286-nucleotide long non-coding RNA. RefSeq lists it as uncharacterized. The record is from RefSeq and is a predicted model, not a curated record. The transcript has 4 exons. Lineage: Eukaryota; Metazoa; Chordata; Actinopteri; Cyprinodontiformes; Fundulidae.
UUUGCUAGCAGACCAAGAAAAAGAAAGGAGAAGACAGUGUUACAAGGCCUGGGAGGAAAGACGCAUAAAAGCAAUUGAAGAACGCCAGCAACGACUGGCGGUACAUGAAGAACCAUCAAGUGGGCUGCUUUUGAAGUUCAAAUAUCCGAAUGGAUUUAUCACAAAGAGAACUUUCAAUGUGUCUGACCCAAUCCAGGUCUUGUUUGACUUUGUCGGACAAGAUGAAAUGGCAAGUGAAAUAUUCAGUGUUCAACAAGCAACAUCAUCCACACCAAUUGAGAGUACC